RNAcentral lists this ribosomal RNA (293 nucleotides) under uncultured eukaryote. RNAcentral's name for it is "partial 18S ribosomal RNA". It matches the Rfam family "Eukaryotic small subunit ribosomal RNA", at positions 6 to 299 of the family's 1831-position model. The record is from RNAcentral.
GGUUGAUCCUGCCAGUAGUCAUAUGCUUGUCUCAAAGAUUAAGCCAUGCAUGUCUAAGUAUAAACAUCUUUAUACAGUGAAACUGCGUACAGCUCAUUAUAUCAGUUAUUAUUUAUUUGAUGGUACCUUACUACAUGGAUACCCGUAGUAAUUCUAGAGCUAAUACAUGCGUCAAGUCCCGACUUCUUGGAAGGGAUGUAUUUAUUAGAUAAAAAACCAAUGCAGGCAACUGCUCUCUUGGUGAUUCAUAGUAACUUUACGGAUCGCACGGCGCAAGCUGGCGACAGUUCAUU